ACUUUUAAUAACUCUUUAGUCUCAAUCUAUAACUUGGAAUUCCAUUAACAAUUCAUAUACCAUCCAACACACCUGAAUUUGGAAUUUCGAUACAAAAAAUUUGAGCAACAUUUACAACAUCUCACAACAAGUAACAACGAUCAACAACCCCAUCAUCAAUUUUCAUCCAAAAACUGGAAAUCAUACCAAAAAAAUCAAAAUGAGGGAAAGAGAAAAGGGGUCAAUACCAACACAAGCAUAAGAGGAGUAAGGAGAAGGGCGGUGGCAGCAGGCGCGGCGGCAGAUUCCAAAGCUCGAAUUGCAGGACUUAAUUUGAUGGCAAAUUUUGCAACUUCACAGAAAAUUUGGGGGAUAAUGUUUGUUGUAAUUGGAUUAACUUCUUUUGGAGCUUUCUCUUAUGCUGCUCUUUUUUCCAAGCUCUUAGCACCAUCAGAAAACACCUUCAUUUCAGCUAUACAAAAAGAUAGAUAUUACUGCUUCUUGGUGCCAUUAUCACUGCCGAUCCUAGUUGUUGCUGUAUACUUUCAUUGGCUCAGCAUGAAACUCUUCAAGCAUGCAUGAUCUUUCUGACAUUCACGUAAAUUUGAUUGGAUAUCGUGUCAUCCACAGCAUCCAAUUAAGAGAUAGACUGCUUCAAAUCACCGGUAUGUAUACCCUCUUUGUGGUGGAUGCUGGCAUUGCUGAAAUUUACUGCUUGAUGAGAAGGAUGAAAUGUAAUAUGAAAAACUCAAGUGUUUCAGCAAGCAAAGUUGUGUAAGUUUAAUUGCAGACAGAAAUGCUUGCUUAGCGUCUUCGAACGCUUAUUGGAUUGAGCCUAUGGAUGCUCAACCUACUACUGUAACUGAACCUUAAGUUUUAUCUAAUUUCUCUUUGUCAAAAAAAAGUUGUAUAAGUUCUGUCAGAAUAUGUGAGCAGUCUGAAACCUCUAUACAAUAUGAAAAUUUGAAUUUAUUGUGAUAA
Long non-coding RNA from Beta vulgaris subsp. vulgaris (sugar beet), 960 nucleotides. RefSeq lists it as uncharacterized. The transcript has 3 exons. NCBI's taxonomy places the organism in Eukaryota, Viridiplantae, Streptophyta, Magnoliopsida, Caryophyllales, Amaranthaceae. The record is from RefSeq and is a predicted model, not a curated record.